AAAUUGUAUAGUCGAAAGUGUGAAAUGAUAAUUAUCAAGGUUAAAAAGGAAAUAGGCUUCGGAAAAGUCGGAUUAAAAAUGAGUUAGACGCAUUUAUAGUUAAGUGUAAAUUAUGAGUUAAAGAAAUGAGUUAAAACAUGUUUAUGGAGCAAACUUCAAAAUAAGAUUAUUUGCUAACUGAAUGUCGGAAUAAGUCGGUUUUUGUGUCAUUUUGUUCGUUAUAAUAUAGAGAAUGAAAGUAGGGAAUAGCUGCUGCCAUAACAGUGGCAGAACAGCAGCAGAAUUGGCUGCAAACACAGCAGCCCAUAAGGUAAAUUCUGCUGUCAAUAAAACAGCCCGGGGAAUCAACUUCCAAGCUAGUUUCCGACACCUUCGGGUUUUAUUUUGAUUCCGAGGUCUAAACAAAUAUUGUAGGUGACAUUCCAAACUUUAGGAAUGUCAUUUUUAUUUAGAGUUUGGACUACUCUAAGUAAAAAUUUUAAUAGCUCAAAGUUGGUCGAAAAAUAUGAAUUAAAAAGGGAAGAUUAAGGAGCUAACUUUGAGCAAAAUUUUGGAGACUUUAGAGGUGUCGAACGAAGUUCGAGUCUAAAUGAAAGUUGUCGACGAUGUUACGGACUAUGGAAAUGUCCAAUUUAUUUUGAAUACGGGUUAUUUUAAAUAAGCGGUUUUGAUAGCCGAACUUGGUUAGAAAUCCAAUUUUUGGAUAAGUAAUUCUAGUUAGAUUUUUAUUAAUUAGUGCGAUUAUCGAAUUUUCGUAGACCCGGCGAGACAACCACCAACGGGACCCGGAACAUGAUGAAUGCGAUACCGCUUUACGAAUUCUCGAAGAUUUUUGUUAGCAAGUGUGUUUUAUUUCAGGUGAUAGUAUUUGAAGAGAUGGACUUCCAUUCUUGUUCCGGAAGUCUACAACAUAUAAAGUAUGUUUUGAAGUACGCUUCAAUUCGUAGCGCUGCAGUAGUCAGUAGAUGUCAGUCUAUAUUUGAUUGUUUGUACCGAACGAGAUCCAGCUGUUAACUCUGAUUUUAUAAAAUAUAUAUACACGAUUUAUAAAACUAUGUUUUUACCCGUUUGAUAA
Molecule: long non-coding RNA, 1075 nt
Organism: Mercurialis annua (annual mercury)
Lineage: Eukaryota; Viridiplantae; Streptophyta; Magnoliopsida; Malpighiales; Euphorbiaceae
Exons: 2
Source: RefSeq, a predicted model, not a curated record